Molecule: ribosomal RNA, 253 nt
Filed under: uncultured bacterium
Lineage: Bacteria
Description: partial 16S ribosomal RNA
Rfam family: Bacterial small subunit ribosomal RNA
Source: RNAcentral
UACGAAGGGGGCUAGCGUUGCUCGGAAUCACUGGGCGUAAAGGGUGCGUAGGCGGGUCUUUAAGUCAGGGGUGAAAUCCUGGAGCUCAACUCCAGAACUGCCCUUGAUACUGAGGAUCUUGAGUUCGGGAGAGGUGAGUGGAACUGCGAGUGUAGAGGUGAAAUUCGUAGAUAUUCGCAAGAACACCAGUGGCGAAGGCGGCUCACUGGCCCGGUACUGACGCUGAGGUGCGAAAGCGUGGGGAGCAAACAGG